AAAGCGCAUGCUUUUUGUUGAAAAACCAAGGUGGUAUGGGAUGGACCCGCGUCUGAUUAGCUGGUUGGCGGGGUAAAGGCCCACCAAGGCGACGAUCAGUAGCCGGCCUGAGAGGGCGGACGGCCACAUUGGGACUGAGACACGGCCCAAACUCCUACGGGAGGCAGCAGUGGGGAAUAUUGCACAAUGGGGGAAACCCUGAUGCAGCGACGCCGCGUGAGUGAAGAAGUAAUUCGUUAUGUAAAGCUCUAUCAGCAGGGAAGAAAAUGACGGUACCUGAGUAAGAAGCCCCGGCUAACUACGUGCCAGCAGCCGCGGUAAUACGUAGGGGGCAAGCGUUAUCCGGAUUUACUGGGUGUAAAGGGAGCGUAGACGGCAGUGCAAGUCUGGAGUGAAAGGCGGGGGCUCAACCCCCGGACUGCUCUGGAAACUGUACGGCUGGAGUGCAGGAGAGGUAAGUGGAAUUCCUAGUGUAGCGGUGAAAUGCGUAGAUAUUAGGAGGAACACCAGUGGCGAAGGCGGCUUACUGGACUGUAACUGACGUUGAGGCUCGAAAGCGUGGGGAGCAAACAGGAUUAGAUACCCUGGUAGUCCACGCCGUAAACGAUGAUCAAUAGGUGUCGGGG
RNAcentral lists this ribosomal RNA (626 nucleotides) under uncultured bacterium. RNAcentral's name for it is "bacterial SSU rRNA". It matches the Rfam family "Bacterial small subunit ribosomal RNA", at positions 183 to 828 of the family's 1533-position model. The record is from RNAcentral.